AUGAACGCUGGCGGCGUGCCUAAUACAUGCAAGUCGAGCGAACAGACGAGGAGCUUGCUCCUCUGACGUUAGCGGCGGACGGGUGAGUAACACGUGGAUAACCUACCUAUAAGACUGGGAUAACUUCGGGAAACCGGAGCUAAUACCGGAUAAUAUAUUGAACCGCAUGGUUCAAUAGUGAAAGACGGUUUUGCUGUCACUUAUAAAUGGAUCCGCGCCGCAUUAGCUAGUUGGUAAGGUAACGGCUUACCAAGGCGACGAUGCGUAGCCGACCUGAGAGGGUGAUCGGCCACACUGGAACUGAGACACGGUCCAGACUCCUACGGGAGGCAGCAGUAGGGAAUCUUCCGCAAUGGGCGAAAGCCUGACGGAGCAACGCCGCGUGAGUGAUGAAGGUCUUCGGAUCGUAAAACUCUGUUAUUAGGGAAGAACAAAUGUGUAAGUAUCUAUGCACGUCUUGACGGUACCUAAUCAGAAAGCCACGGCUAACUACGUG
RNAcentral lists this ribosomal RNA (496 nucleotides) under uncultured bacterium. RNAcentral describes it as "partial 16S ribosomal RNA". It matches the Rfam family "Bacterial small subunit ribosomal RNA", at positions 29 to 507 of the family's 1533-position model. The record is from RNAcentral.